ACCCCAUGAUAUAAGCCGGCAGAACAAAUAUUUUUCUAGUUUUUUCUGUGACUAUGAUUGGGAACAUAAAAUCUAUUCCGAAGUGUGUAUAUUUUAGAGCGUUACACCUGCUUUGAAAUAAAGAUUUAUUCAGAAAAUA
Small nucleolar RNA from Ceratitis capitata (Mediterranean fruit fly), 139 nucleotides. RefSeq annotates it as small nucleolar RNA snoR639/H1. NCBI's taxonomy places the organism in Eukaryota, Metazoa, Arthropoda, Insecta, Diptera, Tephritidae. The transcript has a single exon. The record is from RefSeq and is a predicted model, not a curated record.